Molecule: ribosomal RNA, 440 nt
Filed under: uncultured bacterium
Lineage: Bacteria
Description: partial 16S ribosomal RNA
Rfam family: Bacterial small subunit ribosomal RNA
Source: RNAcentral
CCUACGGGUGGCAGCAGUGGGGAAUAUUGCACAAUGGGGGAAACCCUGAUGCAGCGACGCCGCGUGAGUGAAGAAGUCUUUCGGUAUGUAAAGCUCUAUCAGCAGGGAAGAAAAUGACGGUACCUGAGCAAGAAGCCCCUGCUAAAUACGUGCCAGCAGCCGCGGUAAAACGUAUGGAGCAAGCGUUAUCCGGUUUUACUGGGGGAAAAGGUAGCGUAGGCGGCUUGUCAAGUCCGAGGUGGAAUACCGGGGCUCAACCCCGGGACUGCAUUGGAAACUGGCAAGCUGGAGUGCCGGAGAGGCAGGCGGAAUUCCUGGUGUAGCGGUGAAAUGCGUAGAUAUCAGGAGGAACACCGGUGGCGAAGGCGGCCUGCUGGACGGUGACUGACGUUGAGGCUCGAAAGCGUGGGGAGCAAACAGGAUUAGAUACCCGGGUAGUC